RNAcentral lists this unclassified non-coding RNA (559 nucleotides) under Hevea brasiliensis (rubber tree). Lineage: Eukaryota; Viridiplantae; Streptophyta; Magnoliopsida; Malpighiales; Euphorbiaceae. The record is from RNAcentral.
UCAAAAUUUGCACAUCAUCCCGUUGAAAAAGCUGCAGAUUGCAGUAGAUGGAAGCUACCAUUACAAGGUUUUUAUAAGCUAAAUACAGAUGCUGGUUCACGUCCAGAUAAUAUGGUGGGGUUGGGAAUGAUAAUUCGAAAUGAUCAGGGUCAUGUUUUGAUGGCAGCAGCUAAAAGAAUUCAGGCGGCCUGGGAUGCAAGCAUGGCUGAAGUACAUGCAGUCAAGUUCGGGGUGUAGAUGGCUCUCGAAGCUGGUUUUAACUCCUUAAUUGUUGAAGGUGAGAAUCAGAGCACUAUAGCAGUUUUAAAUGGUCAAGAGCAGAUUUCUCCAUACGAUUUAUGCGUAGGUGAUGUGCCGCAUAUAUCUUCCAUGAUCGAGUGACUGAGGUUUCAAUAUGCUCCACGGACAGCCAAUCAGUUAGCUCAUCAAUUCGCAAAGCAGGCUUUUGUUAUUUCAGAUACUCUGCAAUCAUGGGUGGAGGACUGCCCUCCUUAUCUUUCCGCUGUGAUCGUAAUGAUAUUUCCCAUGUUUUUGAAUCUGGUUGAUCAAUGAAUUUGCG